Prinia subflava (tawny-flanked prinia) is the source of this 1198-nucleotide long non-coding RNA. RefSeq lists it as uncharacterized. Lineage: Eukaryota; Metazoa; Chordata; Aves; Passeriformes; Cisticolidae. The record is from RefSeq and is a predicted model, not a curated record. The transcript is spliced from 2 exons.
GCCACCUCUCCCGGCCGGCAGAAAAGGCGCUUCCUUGGGUUUUUCCUUCUCUUUUCUUCGUAUCACGGAUGGCUACGCAGUGGUUCCUGCUUUUUCAGCCACUGCGACUGGUUUGUACCGUGACUUUAAAAGACGCCAGCCCAUCCUAGAUACAGCUGGUUGGAUUCCCGGACCCUGAGUGUGACACAACAAUUCUUCCUUCCUCUGCAUGGCCCAACACCUGGCCUGUGGUUGGUGGGGACCGGGACUGAAACUUUUAAUCCCCUCUGUAUCCUUGUGUUUCUGGACAAUGUUAUCUGAGUUUGUAAGAAUGCCUCCUCUGUCCUGACGGUUUGGGAUGCAGUUCCAAUCCUGGUCACAGACCAUCUCAAGAGCCUGCUGAGCUCAGAGCGUCUCUACCCUGACAAAUUUAGGAGGUGUCAAUUAUUAUAUUAGUUUUUAUCAUAAGAUUUUUAAGAAGCUUGUUUUAAAAUUGGUGUAAGUGAUUCCUCUGCAGUUAGAGCUGGGCACCAGCCAUGCCUUGGCUCUCUCUGGAUGGGAACUGCCUGUUUGCCCAGAUCUUUUAGCAAAAAAAUACAUACGAGUUGACUCAGCAAUUUGACUAUUAAAUAUAAUAACUGAAUUGAUCUUUGAGGUGAACCUGGAAUUCCUGCCCAGGAAGGAUGAACAGGUUGUCACUGGAAAAGAAGCACUUCCGCUUUUGCAGUUUCUGGGCUGAUGAAAAUUAUUAUCAAAAAGAUAACUUGCAACAAUGUAACAUUUAUGUUAUGAAUCUGAGGAAAAAAUAAUUAUGAAACCUGGAUGUUGAAUUUAGACAUUGGAGUCUGACAAGUUAUCAGUUUAGGGCAGUGGAGUCUGACAAGUUUGUUAACUUAAGGAGAAGAUGUGCCUGUUUUAUCAUUAGCAGGUUCAGCAGUCGUGUUACCCAUCACCUUUGAGGAGUGAAAAGGGACAUUGCAUAGCCUUAGUGGCUGUCACAUAGAGUGCAACAAGAUGACCAUGUGGUUGGAAGUUAUGGAGACAACAAAAGUCCUGUGUCAGCAGCAUGGUCGUGGUUUCCUCAAUCUUCUUCCAGUCAAUCCCUGCUUCAGACUUCAAGAAGACAUCCAGUGAUGCCAAGGAUCAAUAUCUUGGCUCAAUGGACCCUUUCCUUUUCAUGUGUUUUAAUUUUAUAGUAGAUGUUGCUUCAUUUAAGUUU